Molecule: long non-coding RNA, 1528 nt
Organism: Sapajus apella (tufted capuchin)
Lineage: Eukaryota; Metazoa; Chordata; Mammalia; Primates; Cebidae
Exons: 2
Source: RefSeq, a predicted model, not a curated record
AUGUAAGGGAUCCCUUCCCUAAAACAGAUGCUUUUGAAUUACCUUUGAGAGAGAGAGAAAAAAAAAAAAAAAAAAACCAGCCCAGAUUAUUUCACACUUCAAACAGAAAUAUGAAUCACGCCAGCAUUGUAAAGAAGGUUCGUUCACUUUUUGGAUGCUUAACUCUAUCAAAUCCAUUAAUUAAACAUUUAUUGAGCACCUAAGACAAUGAGCUUCCCUUAGAGAGAGGGAAACGGGUGACUGGCUCCUUUUGAUUAGGUCUCUUAAAUUAAUGUAAAAUUGUAACUGUUAACCCUAUUUUAAGAGAAGCAGAAACGGUGGAAAACAAGCUGUGAAACUAGGGUGUGGUCUCUGUUGGACUCUACAUCCAAAUCCCCUCGGAAGGCUCCCCACCCAGCGGAAAGGUAAGAAUAACAUUCUGUGCAUUUAAAAACAAUCAAUCCCAACUCUCUAAGAAGGCUUGUUAAGAAUGUUUCUUAUGAGAAUGUAAAAACACUGGACAGUAGUCAGGACCAGCUUCUCAUUCAGCAGUUCAUCAAGUGGGCUAUUUAUGGAUUGGGACUUCUGAUUUGUAAUACAUCGUCUCAGGGUUCGGUGUUAUCUUUUGAUUUCUUUCCAGCUGAACAGGCUAAGUAGUUGUAAAUACCUCUUGUCAGACUACAUGGUUGGCUAUUCCCGCACACAGAAGUAAUCUAGGAACCCACUGGGCAAGUUCGGCGGAAAGCCGCUGUGGAAGCCUGCAGCUGAUGUACACUGCAGAGCGAGGGAGGGGCGGUGAAGGUGGCGGGAGGCAGUGGCCAUGGUGGUUGCUGUGGCCUGGUCACUUCAGUUAUGUCGGGAACACCCUACAUGUUUGGAGGUAUGUGUUCUCGAGGCCUUCACUGGUUUGCCAUACUGACAAAGUAUAUUUUAAUGGCUACCGUGCAAAGUGUGAAGGAGAAGCAAUGGAGACUUCAUCCAUGAUAUGCAAAGAACAUGAAGGUGGACAAGCAACUUUCUUAGUCACUACCUGUUCCUUUCUCCGCGGAGAGGUACCACAUGUUUGCCACACCAUUUCCCAUGCAGCGAUGGACAUGCAUUUUACUCCAUCUUUUUCUUUUGUUUGUACUAAAGCUUUUUCUUCAUAAUCUGUUUUCAAAUCUGUUCAUAUUUUGAAUGUACAAUUGUAGAAUUUGAGUUAGGGGAAAAAGAAAAAGAAGUAAAGGUCAUAUUGAUUUUCUUUUAAAAAGAGGAGAAAGAACUGGCCAAUUUCAUAAUAAAAAUGAGGAAAGUGGACAAGUAUGAAAUAUACACAUCUCCACUGGGAAUUUCUAGUCAUUUUCAUGUCAGCUGACUGUGUCAUUCUACCAAAUGGAACUCACUGAAAUCAUAUAGUUCUAUAAUUAUAAAAUUGAUUUGGGAAAAGAAAAAAAGUGCUUUAAUUUCUGUUGCUUCAAGGGAUUAUCCAUUCAAAACAUUUUUCUGUCCACUAUAAAUUGUAUUGGAAACUAAGCUAUAAGAAAUAAAGAUAGUAAAUGUCUAACACAAA